GCACUGCUGAGGAGCCCGACAAUGGGGCGAAACGGUCGUCCAGUGC
This is a non-coding RNA of Schistosoma curassoni, 46 nucleotides long. The record is from Rfam. NCBI's taxonomy places the organism in Eukaryota, Metazoa, Platyhelminthes, Trematoda, Strigeidida, Schistosomatidae.